UAAUACAGAGGUGUCAAGCGUUGCUCGGUAUCACUGGGCUUAAAGGGCGCGUAGGCUGUGCGGUACGGUUCGGGUGAAAUCCCUCGGCUUAACCGAGGAACUGCCCGGGCGACGGCCGUGCUAGACAGCAUCAGGGGACGAUGGAACUCCCGGUGGAGCGGUGAAAUGCGUAGAUAUCGGGAGGAACGCCGGUGGCGAAAGCGAUCGUCUGGGGUGCUUGUGACGCUGAGGCGCGAAAGCCAGGGGAGCAAACGGG
RNAcentral lists this ribosomal RNA (256 nucleotides) under uncultured bacterium. Its description in RNAcentral is "partial 16S ribosomal RNA". It matches the Rfam family "Bacterial small subunit ribosomal RNA", at positions 521 to 776 of the family's 1533-position model. The record is from RNAcentral.